RNAcentral lists this ribosomal RNA (500 nucleotides) under uncultured bacterium. RNAcentral's name for it is "partial 16S ribosomal RNA". It matches the Rfam family "Bacterial small subunit ribosomal RNA", at positions 30 to 523 of the family's 1533-position model. The record is from RNAcentral.
AUUGAACGCUGGCGGCAGGCCUAACACAUGCAAGUCGAGCGGCAGCGGGACCUUCGGGUUGCCGGCGAGCGGCGGACGGGUGAGUAAUGCCUAGGAAUCUGCCUGUUAGUGGGGGAUAACGCGGGGAAACUCGCGCUAAUACCGCAUACGUCCUACGGGAGAAAGUGGGGGCUCUUCGGACCUCACGCUAUCGGAUGAGCCUAGGUCGGAUUAGCUAGUUGGUGGGGUAAAGGCUCACCAAGGCGACGAUCCGUAACUGGUCUGAGAGGAUGAUCAGUCACACUGGAACUGAGACACGGUCCAGACUCCUACGGGAGGCAGCAGUGGGGAAUAUUGGACAAUGGGCGAAAGCCUGAUCCAGCCAUGCCGCGUGUGUGAAGAAGGUCUUCGGAUUGUAAAGCACUUUAAGUUGGGAGGAAGGGUUGCAGGUUAAUACCUUGCAGCCUUGACGUUACCGACAGAAUAAGCACCGGCUAACUUCGUGCCAGCCGCCGCCGUAA